Molecule: non-coding RNA, 2618 nt
Organism: Cinara cedri
Lineage: Eukaryota; Metazoa; Arthropoda; Insecta; Hemiptera; Aphididae
Source: the annotation of a GenBank genome assembly
GCACGUAUUCACAACGCGCACACAUCGCACAUGCCGCGAAUCGACGGAAUAUCGCGCGCGCCGUCGUCGUCAACUACACCGUCGUCGCCGUUUUCGUGUUUUUUUUUUUUUUUAUUUUUUUAUUGUUUGUUUUAUUCCGCUAGUCGUUUCUACAGUCUCGUUGCUGUAAUAAUUUAUUCUCCUACCGAAUAAUCGUGACCGUUCGUCAAGUCCGUGCGUUUUUCGCCGCUUUCGGGUUUUCGUCGUAUCGGAAAAAAACGAAAAUUACCGCGGGGUUCUUUUUCUUUCUCUCUUUCGAUCGGCCGUCGGUUUUCCUCUCCCCGCGAAAACGCAUCCCGGUUUUUGCCCGAGUGCGUCCGUCUAUAACCGCCAUGACUCGUUUGUAGUUUUAGAAAACGAAAUAUGAAGGUAAGCCCCGCGGCCGCUGCAGCUGCGUUUCCGUCACCCUCGUCGUUACGGACGAGAAAAAAAAAAUUAUACAAAAAAAAAUUUAUCGACGAAUAUUGUAUUUUUAUUGAAUUUCGUCUCGUAUAUUUUUGAGCUUUUUUUUUUUUUUUGGCACGUGAACCGCACCAAUAUACGCGCACACGGUCGGGAAGCGUUAGGUAUACUGUGCAGUACGUUUGUUUUUUUUUUCACGAAUAAUAUAUAUAUAUAUAUAUACAUAUAAAAAAAAAAAAAAAAACUCUCCGGUCAUACGGGCCGAGAAUAUCGGCUGACCUUCGUCAUCCUCGUGGUGCGCAGGGGGAAAAGACGCGUUUUCUAUUGUCUGGUAGACUGACGAAAAAAAAAAAUGAAAAAAAAAGAAGAGUACAGGUGGACAUUCCUAUAUACCGUCAUUUUUUUUUCCGUCGUUUUUAUUGUCUCUUACAAACGACUAUGUCGCCGACGCGUCGUUCCCAUUUUCGCAGCGAAACGAACGAUAUUCGUUUUUUUCUCCUAUAUUGCUGCGCGUACAUUUUUUCAUAUUAUUGCGUUUCGUAUUGUCCGAGUUGAUUUGUAUAUUCGUCGUAUUUUCAGAAAAAAAAAAUAUGUAUAUAUCCCCGCAUUUUAAAGUCAAUUUACGCCAAAAUGCGGUUUUUUUCCUUUCAAAUUUUCUUUUCACGAUUACUGUAUCGACUCUCGACGCUAUUCGUCGUAUAAUAAGGCAUAUCGAAGCACGUGCGACGCCGAAGAUAUUAUAGUAUUUUUAUUAUUUAUUUAGUAGUUUUACUUUAAAGAUUUUUUUUUUUAUUUUAAUAAAUUCCAAGCGAAAAAUCAAUGAGGAAAUGAUAAAUUAUCGGUUCGGUCGAUAUGCUUGAAAAAAAAAAAAUCACGUUUCUAUCGGUGUUAUUUUUUCUUGUACCGUAAAUUAACGCGUUUUUACAUUUUGUUUUGAUCACGUAAAAACAACAAUAAAAACGUCUUGAAAUUAUUAUUUCGAUCGGUUAUGAUUAUAAAUGUAUCCGUGUUAUAUUAUGUAUAUUUACUUUUUUUUUCCCCCGGCGUACAAUCAAAAUAAACCCGCAGACAUAUUAUGUAGGUAUUUUCGUAUAUAAACGUUUCCUCCCCUCCGUCUCGUUCUACUAUGUCGCACCGAUACCAAUUCAAAAUUGUUUUUGCCGAGUUGUUCGGGUCCGAAAAGACCGCCAAAGGGAAAUCGUGUAUAUAUAAAAAAAAAGAAAAAAAAAGCCGUCUAUUAUUACACAUUUAUACUGCAGUCGAUAUUUUUACACGGUUUUCGAAUAUUUUGACAAUGCGCGCCGACCGUUUCGCUACACGCCGCAAGGUUUUGUGUUAUUUUAGAAAAUUAAUCUCUCACCCCCGGGUAUCGUUUUUUUUUUUUUUUUUUUUUAAAAAAAAAAAAAAAAAAAAACUAUACCGUGGAAGAAGAUAGGAAAAAAAACGCAACACGUUGCCGGAGCGGUUUUUUUUAAUUGUAAUUUAAACGUCAAUCGAAGUCUCUCGCGAGCGCGCAAACAAGACGCACGAAAAUCCGCAAAGUUUCGGCCAUAUAUAUACGCGUACCUAUGUAUAGGUUUUUGUUUUUGUUUUUUUUUUUUCCCCCGGCUUAUUUAAACCGACAACGAUUUAUGGGCGAACGGUAUUAAAUCUAUACGGACGCCUGCCUAUAUACCUGCCUGUCCGCCCGCCCCUCCGUACCGCGGGGCGUAUAUAUAUAUGUUCGUGUAUUGACACGCUUUGUUUUAUUUUUAAUUCCGAAUCGGCGGGGGGGCCGAGCCGUUAUACGGUACGUAUAAUAUCGGCGGCCGUCCAUCACGUCACGCGUCCGUCCGGUUCCUAAUGAAUUUUCGCGGUUUAUACCGCGACCGCGGUAACCGCUUCCGGGACGACUUCGCGGGGCCCGCAUACCCGCGCCGGCGCGUCCCUCGGGGACGUCUUUAACAGCUCUCGCGAACCCGCGUACAGUGUACCCGCUCCGCAUCACGUCCCCGUCGCUAUCCCUCGCCUCGUUUUGACGGUAAACCCUAUUACACCGGCCCGCACUUACGGCCCCCCGACUUUAUUGUAUUAUAACGUACACCUACAUGCAGUAUAUACAUUAUUUUUCAUUUUGAUUUUUUUCUUUUUUGUUCGCAGGUAAGAAUAUGUCCGCUGUUAAUAGUUCAAUAGGUAAA